CUAGAGACCGGCGCACGGGUGCGUAACGCGUAUGCAAUCUACCUUUCACAGCGGGAUAGCCCAGAGAAAUUUGGAUUAAUACCUCAUAGUAUAGUACCUUGGCAUCAAGGAAUUAUUAAAGAUUUAUCGGUGAAAGAUGAGCAUGCGUCCCAUUAGCUAGUUGGUAUGGUAACGGCAUACCAAGGCUACGAUGGGUAGGGGUCCUGAGAGGGAGAUCCCCCACACUGGUACUGAGACACGGACCAGACUCC
This 251-nucleotide ribosomal RNA is filed under the name uncultured Flavobacterium sp. RNAcentral describes it as "partial 16S ribosomal RNA". It matches the Rfam family "Bacterial small subunit ribosomal RNA", at positions 88 to 339 of the family's 1533-position model. Lineage: Bacteria; Pseudomonadati; Bacteroidota; Flavobacteriia; Flavobacteriales; Flavobacteriaceae. The record is from RNAcentral.